AGCACCGAAUCCUGUAUCUUUGAUAUUAGGAAUUGUGGUGUAAAGGUUGUGUUUUUAAUUGACGAUUAUGCUCCAAAUUCACUUGAUUGUGAUGUUGUCCAGAGAGGGUGUUAGGCCCGUUGGAGUGUAUGAAACUUUUAUUGAUGCUUCCUAUGAGUCGGAUUGUUUGAGAAUGCAGUCCAAAUUGGGUGGUAAACUCCAUCUAAGGCUAAAUACUUGUGUGAGUCCGAUAGCAAACAAGUACCGUGAGGGAAAGUUGAAAAGAACUUUGAAGAGAGAGUUAAAUAGUACGUGAAAUCGCUUAGAGGUAAACGAGUGAAGCCGAARAUGUUUUAUGGAAUUCARUUAACUGUGUGUCUUCUUGAAUUUGGCGAAAUCCAACUAGGAAUUGCUAUUUUUGAGUUUUAAUAUACAUGCGGUKGAUGCACUUUCUGUAUAACAGUACUGCGACCGAUAGCGUCAUUUUUCUGUCGUAAUUUUGAAGGUGAUCAUUUUCUCGGAAAUGGUUUUAUAGCUGGUUACAUGGUUAAAUGAUUUAUUGGUGAUUGCGAUUAACGGUUAUUGACUGGUUUAAUGUUGAUGGUUCUUUGAUAGACUAAAAAUAGGCUGUUUUUGAACUAUUGAUGUUUUUCAUGGUUGAUUUGUUAAUUUAAAGUCUGCAGUGUAUGUAGGUUACUUACUCGUCCCGUCUUGAAACACGGACCAAGGAGUUUUAUAUGAUCGCGAGUCAAAGGGCAUUACGAAACCCCACGGCGAAAUUAAUGUAAAGGUUUACUUCGGUAAGCUGUGAUGUGACCUCGUGGAAACACAGAGUGCAACAUCGACCCGUCUAAAGAUGUUCGCAUCUGGGCGGAGUUUGAGCGAUCAUGUAGAGACCCGAAAGAUGGUGAACUAUGCUUGUGCAGGUUGAAGCCAGGGGAAACUCUGGUGGAGGACCGCCGCGGUUCUGACGUGCAAAUCGAUCGUCGGACAUGAGUAUAGGGGCGAAAGAC
RNAcentral lists this ribosomal RNA (992 nucleotides) under Dugesia subtentaculata. RNAcentral's name for it is "partial 28S ribosomal RNA". It matches the Rfam family "Eukaryotic large subunit ribosomal RNA", at positions 111 to 931 of the family's 3401-position model. The record is from RNAcentral. Lineage: Eukaryota; Metazoa; Platyhelminthes; Tricladida; Dugesiidae.